AAAUGAGUAACAAUUGUAAUUAUACGAAAGAAUAUAUAUUUUACAUAACAAUUACUUUCUUCAAUGCAUCCAAAAUUGUUUAUAUUUAAUCAAAAAAAUCACAGUCAUCAAAGAUUUAAACAGAGGAGUGUGUACAAAGGAGUUCAUCAAACGUAAAAUGAUAGUCCAUGAACCAUGUUUUGCUCCCUGGUCGUGGAUCUAUUAAAAAGAACGUCACAAGAUAAAUAAAAGAAAAAAACCAUUGUAAGAAAACACCUGCGGAUGCGUCUUCUGGGUUGUCACCUAUGCCAAUUUCAUUUGAUAUUCCGAUGACCGUAGAAUUUUCAACCUCAAAAAGGGGUGGAGGGUUUUAUGAUUUUGAAGAUGAUGGGAUAUCAAACUCCAUUGGUUCCCAUUUCACACAUCGCGAGGAUGUUGCAGCAAGAAUUUCUCUUCUUGCUCCAGACUUCCAAGCUAUCUCAAUUCUAUCUGGAUCUAGCCCUAUUUCAAGCUUCACAAUUGGUCUACCGGAUUCUAGUAUAUCAAAAUGAAAGCAGUAAAUAAAAUAUACAUACGAUAUUAUUAGUAAUUAUGCAAAAUAAUAUAUACUUAUCAUAAUAAUUACCUUAUUCGACGCAUCCCAAAUAUUUUAUGUUUAAUCAAAGAAAUCACACUCGCUGGAAUUUUUUUGCAGAGCAACAUGGAUAAAGAUUUGAUCAUGUCAUAUAUCAUGAUCCAUACACCAAGUUUUUCUACCUUGCUCGCAGAUCUAAAGAAGAAAUAUCAAAAUAUUUAACUGGAAAAAAAAAAAGGAAUCAACAAAAAAUAGUUGAGAAAAGGCGAAAAAAACAGUAAUUACCGAUUAUUUACUAUGUAUCUAGUAUCUAUUGAUUAAAGUAAGAUAAAACACAAUGAAUCCCGAUCUCUAUACUCGAUCCAAUCAAAUGCAAGAUGAGAGAGAGAGAGAGAGAGAGAGAGAGGGAGGGAGGGAGGGAGGGAGGUUGAUGUUAUUUUGUGAAAGCGGCUGCGGCCGCGGAUGGUACUUGCCAAGUGAUUCCCAACCCUAAUUUAUAAGCAAAUAAAAGGAGGAGGAUUUUUUUUAGGUCAAGCUUUCAUUAGGGAUGUAAUAUGGGUUGAUCCACACGUUUGGCCCAUCCCACUAUUAGCCCGUAAAGAAUGAGAUGGGGACAGGCCAGGUGGUGG
This 1182-nucleotide long non-coding RNA is filed under the name Medicago truncatula (barrel medic). RNAcentral's name for it is "long non-coding RNA (MTRU_LNC003899)". Lineage: Eukaryota; Viridiplantae; Streptophyta; Magnoliopsida; Fabales; Fabaceae. The record is from RNAcentral.